This is a long non-coding RNA of Hemicordylus capensis (graceful crag lizard), 704 nucleotides long. RefSeq lists it as uncharacterized. The record is from RefSeq and is a predicted model, not a curated record. The transcript is spliced from 4 exons. Lineage: Eukaryota; Metazoa; Chordata; Lepidosauria; Squamata; Cordylidae.
UCCAUCACUCACCUCCCCACUUAGUCCUUUGCUUUCUGGCUUUGGAAAAGGAGGGCUUGUGUGUCACUCCUUCACAGCCAGUUCUGACUUUGGCGUGCAACUUGGCAUAGAGGCAGCUUUAUCUGGGCCCACUCAGAUGGACUGGGCUGUGUGAUCUGAAGUGGAAGCUUGCUGACAUUCUGGAGUGGGUGAGGCCAAGCUGGACUGACUCCCCCCUGUGGCAGGUGCAGUGCGGGCUGGGUGGAUGAGUAGUCAGGGUAGAGUGAAGAAAUGAGGAGUGAAUACUCUCCCCACUAACCCACUCCAGGCGGCUCCCACUGAUUGUGGAAAACACCUCACUGAACGUCAUCCCUAAAGAAUAUAAGAUAUAUUCCUAGAAGGUGAGACAAGCAGCAAGGUCUCUCCAUCAGCCUGAGAAGGACUAAGUAACUUCUGAAGCUUCCCCUUUGGGGGAAAAAAACCCUUUAUAAUUUUUGUUUGUAUUUUUGUGAAGCUUGUAAGCCCUUUUGGGACAGGAUUAUUAAAUAUGAAAAAUGUUGUAAGCCACUCUGAACCUGUUGGAAAGAGCAGGAUAUAAAUCUAACAAAUACACAAAUAGGUCUGCAUGGUACCUUUUGGUCAAAACCUCGGUUUGUAUUAUUUCACUGCUGCUGUCUUCCAGAAAAACUAUAUAGUUAUGUGUAUGUGUAGACCUUUAAACAAUA